Pseudonaja textilis is the source of this 89-nucleotide non-coding RNA. The record is from RefSeq and is a predicted model, not a curated record. Lineage: Eukaryota; Metazoa; Chordata; Lepidosauria; Squamata; Elapidae.
CAGAGAUCUGAGGUGGACAGAGGGAGUGACUUCUAAAACCCUCGAAAUUGCUUUGUUGGGUAAUGUGACUGAUGACACAUCUUGGGGGG